GUCAACUUGGCCGAGUGGUUAAGGCGUAUGCCUGCUACUUCGGACUAUGCCUGUCAUGGUCCAAGCUUGCUAGUGUAUUCCAUUUGGAGCGCAGGUUCGAUCCCUGCAGUUGACG
This 115-nucleotide transfer RNA is filed under the name Lunasporangiospora selenospora. Its description in RNAcentral is "Mortierella selenospora tRNA". It matches the Rfam family "tRNA". From Rfam's summary of the family: Transfer RNA (tRNA) molecules are approximately 80 nucleotides in length. Their secondary structure includes four short double-helical elements and three loops (D, anti-codon, and T loops). Lineage: Eukaryota; Fungi; Mortierellomycota; Mortierellomycetes; Mortierellales; Mortierellaceae. The record is from Rfam by way of RNAcentral.